Molecule: ribosomal RNA, 573 nt
Filed under: uncultured bacterium
Lineage: Bacteria
Description: partial 16S ribosomal RNA
Rfam family: Bacterial small subunit ribosomal RNA
Source: RNAcentral
CUGUAAAUGAGUGAUUGAAUAUGUUGACUUUAUGGGGAUCUUCAUCGGCGAAAGCGGCCUGCUAUAAAAAAUUGACGCUGAGGCAUGUAGGUAUAGUGUUCGAAUAGGAUUAGCAGCCCUAUUAGUCUAUACUGUAAAAGAUGGGUACUAGGUCUGAACCCUUUAUAGGUUUUGGAUCUAAACUAACGUGCAAGUACCCCACCUGGGUAGUAUAGUCGCAAGAUCGAAACUUAACAAAAUUGGCGGGAAUUUGUUCAAACGGUGGAACAUGUGGUUUAAUGCGAUGAUCCGCGAAAAAUCUUACCAAUGCAUUUUCUAAAUUACUUAAAGCAAUUUUUAAUUAAAUAAUUGCUUGUUUUUUAGAAAUUAGGUGCUGCAUGGCUGUCGUCAGCUCGUGUUGUGAGGCGUAAAAUUAACUUUUUUUACGGGCGCAACUCUCAAAAUUAGUUUUAAAUGUAUUUUUUUUUUAAAAAAAUUAUGUUUUUCUAAUUUUUUAUGCGACAAUUGGUUACGUUUAAAAUUUUGCAAAUUUAUUUGGGCCAGUUGUUGGGAAGUUAAGAGACUGAAGUCAAG